This 400-nucleotide ribosomal RNA is filed under the name uncultured bacterium. RNAcentral describes it as "bacterial SSU rRNA". It matches the Rfam family "Bacterial small subunit ribosomal RNA", at positions 355 to 747 of the family's 1533-position model. The record is from RNAcentral.
UGGGGAAUAUUGCGCAAUGGGCGAAAGCCUGACGCAGCAACGCCGCGUGAGUGAUGAAGGCCUUCGGGUCGUAAAGCUCUGUCGGAGGGAACGAAUGCUCUUGAGGUUAACAGCCUCGGGAGGUGACGGUACCCUCAAAGGAAGCACCGGCUAACUCUGUGCCAGCAGCCGCGGUAAUACAGAGGGUGCAAGCGUUGUUCGGAAUCAUUGGGCGUAAAGGGCGUGUAGGCGGUAUGUUAAGUCAUGUGUGAAAUCCCCGGGCUUAACCUGGGAAUUGCGCUUGUAACUGGCAGGCUAGAGUGUGGCAGAGGGGGGUGAAUUCCACGUGUAGCAGUGAAAUGCGUAGAUAUGUGGAGGAACACCGAUGGCGAAGGCAGCCCCCUGGGUUAACACUGACGCU